This 503-nucleotide ribosomal RNA is filed under the name uncultured bacterium. Its description in RNAcentral is "partial 16S ribosomal RNA". It matches the Rfam family "Bacterial small subunit ribosomal RNA", at positions 30 to 523 of the family's 1533-position model. The record is from RNAcentral.
AUCGAACGCUGGCGGCAGGCUUAACACAUGCAAGUCGAGCGGGGUGAUGGUGCUUGCACUAUCACUUAGCGGCGGACGGGUGAGUAAUGCUUAGGAAUCUGCCUAUUAGUGGGGGACAACAUCUCGAAAGGGAUGCUAAUACCGCAUACGUCCUACGGGAGAAAGCAGGGGAUCACUUGUGACCUUGCGCUAAUAGAUGAGCCUAAGUCGGAUUAGCUAGUUGGUGGGGUAAAGGCCUACCAAGGCGACGAUCUGUAGCGGGUCUGAGAGGAUGAUCCGCCACACGGGGACGGAGACACGGCCCAGACUGCUACGGGAGGAAGCAGUGGGGAAUAUUGGACAAUGGGGGGAACCCUGAUCCAGCCAUGCCGCGUGUGUGAAGAAGGCCUUAUGGUUGUAAAGCACUUUAAGCGAGGAGGAGGCUCUUUUGGUUAAUACCCAAGAUGAGUGGACGUUACUCGCAGAAUAAGCACCGGCUAACUCUGUGCCAGCAGCCGCGGUAA